This 253-nucleotide ribosomal RNA is filed under the name uncultured bacterium. RNAcentral describes it as "partial 16S ribosomal RNA". It matches the Rfam family "Bacterial small subunit ribosomal RNA", at positions 524 to 776 of the family's 1533-position model. The record is from RNAcentral.
UACGAGGGGGGCGAGCGUUGUUCGGAAUUAUUGGGCGUAAAGGGCGCGUAGGCGGUGCGGUAAGUCACCUGUGAAACCUCUGGGCUUAACUCAGAGCCUGCAGGCGAAACUGCCGUGCUGGAGUGUGGGAGAGGUGCGUGGAAUUCCCGGUGUAGCGGUGAAAUGCGUAGAUAUCUGGAGGAACACCGGUGGCGAAGGCGACGUCCUGGACCGGCAUUGACGCUGAGGCGCGAAAGCCAGGGGAGCAAACGGG